UAACUCACUCACAAGAGUCUCUAGAACUUCUUCUCUGUGAUCGCCAAAGGUCCCCCCCCACUUUCUCACUCACCGUGGACCCUAUAGCUGACCUCAAAAAUCAAGUUUUAGAGUUAAGUCGGGAUGUGAAAAGAUUGCAACGUAGAGUCAGUAAAAUUUAUAAAAUAUUAUGUAAAAGGAGCAUAGAACACGUUCCUCUCGGGUGUACAGGCCGGUGGCCUUCGUCAAAUAAGGAGACUAAUUCUCUCUUCUUGGCAUCGAAUACCGUUUUUCAUCCAGGGGCCCUUCAGGAAACCGGUCAAAAAAAUAUUCACCGAAGUGACAAUUUUGAGUCCGCUAAUCAAGAUAAGAGGACAACAGCUUCAUUUUCGCAGAACAAUGCAGCAGGCUCCGGUGAGUAUAUAGAGCCCUCCUUGCUGGAGUCACCUCCGUUAGCACAGUAUUACCUACCGUCGGUCACGGAAAACCCAAUUACAUAUCUGUCCUCACCGUUGUCUCAUACUCCCAAUCCUUUGUCACCCCUUCAU
Zophobas morio is the source of this 527-nucleotide long non-coding RNA. RefSeq lists it as uncharacterized. NCBI's taxonomy places the organism in Eukaryota, Metazoa, Arthropoda, Insecta, Coleoptera, Tenebrionidae. The transcript is spliced from 3 exons. The record is from RefSeq and is a predicted model, not a curated record.